Molecule: ribosomal RNA, 3011 nt
Filed under: Phytobacter diazotrophicus
Lineage: Bacteria; Pseudomonadati; Pseudomonadota; Gammaproteobacteria; Enterobacterales; Enterobacteriaceae
Description: 23S ribosomal RNA
Rfam family: Bacterial large subunit ribosomal RNA
Source: RNAcentral
GGGUUGUGAGGUUAAGCGACUAAGCGUACACGGUGGAUGCCCUGGCAGUCAGAGGCGAUGAAGGACGUGCUAAUCUGCGAAAAGCGCCGGCGAGGUGAUAUGAACCUUUGACCCGGCGAUGUCCGAAUGGGGAAACCCAGUGCAAUUCGUUGCACUAUCGUUUGAUGAAUACAUAGUCAAACGAGGCGAACCGGGGGAACUGAAACAUCUAAGUACCCCGAGGAAAAGAAAUCAACCGAGAUUCCCCCAGUAGCGGCGAGCGAACGGGGAGCAGCCCAGAGCCUGAAUCAGCUUGUGUGUUAGUGGAAGCGUCUGGAAAGUCGCGCGAUACAGGGUGACAGCCCCGUACACGAAAGCACACAGGCUGUGAGCUCGAUGAGUAGGGCGGGACACGUGGUAUCCUGUCUGAAUAUGGGGGGACCAUCCUCCAAGGCUAAAUACUCCUGACUGACCGAUAGUGAACCAGUACCGUGAGGGAAAGGCGAAAAGAACCCCGGCGAGGGGAGUGAAAAAGAACCUGAAACCGUGUACGUACAAGCAGUGGGAGCCUCUUAAUGGGGUGACUGCGUACCUUUUGUAUAAUGGGUCAGCGACUUAUAUUCUGUAGCAAGGUUAACCGAAUAGGGGAGCCGAAGGGAAACCGAGUCUUAACUGGGCGUUAAGUUGCAGGGUAUAGACCCGAAACCCGGUGAUCUAGCCAUGGGCAGGUUGAAGGUUGGGUAACACUAACUGGAGGACCGAACCGACUAAUGUUGAAAAAUUAGCGGAUGACUUGUGGCUGGGGGUGAAAGGCCAAUCAAACCGGGAGAUAGCUGGUUCUCCCCGAAAGCUAUUUAGGUAGCGCCUCGUGAAUUCAUCUCCGGGGGUAGAGCACUGUUUCGGCUAGGGGGCCAUCCCGGCUUACCAACCCGAUGCAAACUACGAAUACCGGAGAAUGUUAUCACGGGAGACACACGGCGGGUGCUAACGUCCGUCGUGAAGAGGGAAACAACCCAGACCGCCAGCUAAGGUCCCAAAGUCAUGGUUAAGUGGGAAACGAUGUGGGAAGGCACAGACAGCCAGGAUGUUGGCUUAGAAGCAGCCAUCAUUUAAAGAAAGCGUAAUAGCUCACUGGUCGAGUCGGCCUGCGCGGAAGAUGUAACGGGGCUAAACCAUGCACCGAAGCUGCGGCAGCGACACUAAGUGUUGUUGGGUAGGGGAGCGUUCUGUAAGCCUGCGAAGGUGUGCUGUGAGGCAUGCUGGAGGUAUCAGAAGUGCGAAUGCUGACAUAAGUAACGAUAAAGCGGGUGAAAAGCCCGCUCGCCGGAAGACCAAGGGUUCCUGUCCAACGUUAAUCGGGGCAGGGUGAGUCGACCCCUAAGGCGAGGCCGAAAGGCGUAGUCGAUGGGAAACAGGUUAAUAUUCCUGUACUUGGUGUUACUGCGAAGGGGGGACGGAGAAGGCUAUGUUAGCCGGGCGACGGUUGUCCCGGUUUAAGCAUGUAGGCUGGUUAUCCAGGCAAAUCCGGAUAAUCAAGGCUGAGGUGUGAUGACGAGUCACUACGGUGAUGAAGUAACAAAUGCCCUGCUUCCAGGAAAAGCCUCUAAGCAUCAGGUAACACGAAAUCGUACCCCAAACCGACACAGGUGGUCAGGUAGAGAAUACCAAGGCGCUUGAGAGAACUCGGGUGAAGGAACUAGGCAAAAUGGUGCCGUAACUUCGGGAGAAGGCACGCUGAUAUGUAGGUGAAGCCCCUGCGGGUGGAGCUGAAAUCAGUCGAAGAUACCAGCUGGCUGCAACUGUUUAUUAAAAACACAGCACUGUGCAAACACGAAAGUGGACGUAUACGGUGUGACGCCUGCCCGGUGCCGGAAGGUUAAUUGAUGGGGUUAUCCGUAAGGAGAAGCUCUUGAUCGAAGCCCCGGUAAACGGCGGCCGUAACUAUAACGGUCCUAAGGUAGCGAAAUUCCUUGUCGGGUAAGUUCCGACCUGCACGAAUGGCGUAAUGAUGGCCAGGCUGUCUCCACCCGAGACUCAGUGAAAUUGAACUCGCUGUGAAGAUGCAGUGUACCCGCGGCAAGACGGAAAGACCCCGUGAACCUUUACUAUAGCUUGACACUGAACAUUGAGCCUUGAUGUGUAGGAUAGGUGGGAGGCUUUGAAGCGUGGACGGCAAGACCCCGUGAACCUUUACUAUAGCUUGACACUGAACAUUGAGCCUUGAUGUGUAGGAUAGGUGGGAGGCUUUGAAGCGUGGACGCCAGUCUGCGUGGAGCCAACCUUGAAAUACCACCCUUUAAUGUUUGAUGUUCUAACGUGGACCCGUAAUCCGGGUUGCGGACAGUGUCUGGUGGGUAGUUUGACUGGGGCGGUCUCCUCCCAAAGAGUAACGGAGGAGCACGAAGGUUGGCUAAUCCUGGUCGGACAUCAGGAGGUUAGUGCAAUGGCAUAAGCCAGCUUGACUGCGAGCGUGACGGCGCGAGCAGGUGCGAAAGCAGGUCAUAGUGAUCCGGUGGUUCUGAAUGGAAGGGCCAUCGCUCAACGGAUAAAAGGUACUCCGGGGAUAACAGGCUGAUACCGCCCAAGAGUUCAUAUCGACGGCGGUGUUUGGCACCUCGAUGUCGGCUCAUCACAUCCUGGGGCUGAAGUAGGUCCCAAGGGUAUGGCUGUUCGCCAUUUAAAGUGGUACGCGAGCUGGGUUUAGAACGUCGUGAGACAGUUCGGUCCCUAUCUGCCGUGGGCGCUGGAGAAUUGAGGGGGGCUGCUCCUAGUACGAGAGGACCGGAGUGGACGCAUCACUGGUGUUCGGGUUGUCAUGCCAAUGGCACUGCCCGGUAGCUACAUGCGGAAGAGAUAAGUGCUGAAAGCAUCUAAGCACGAAACUUGCCCCGAGAUGAGUUCUCCCUUGGACUUUAAGUCCACUAAAGGAACGUUGAAGACGACGACGUUGAUAGGCCGGGUGUGUAAGCGCAGCGAUGCGUUGAGCUAACCGGUACUAAUGAACCGUGAGGCUUAACCUUACAACGCCGAAG